RNAcentral lists this ribosomal RNA (300 nucleotides) under uncultured Thermoactinomycetaceae bacterium. RNAcentral's name for it is "bacterial SSU rRNA". It matches the Rfam family "Bacterial small subunit ribosomal RNA", at positions 114 to 399 of the family's 1533-position model. The record is from RNAcentral. Lineage: Bacteria; Bacillati; Bacillota; Bacilli; Caryophanales; Thermoactinomycetaceae.
CACGUGGGCAACCUGCCCGCAAGACCGGGAGUAAUUCCGGGAAACCGGGGCGUAAUACCGGAUAUGUCUUUCCUUUCCGCAUGAGGGAAAGGGAAAGGAAUCGCUUCUACAGCGGUCACUUGCGGAUGGGCCCGCGGCGCAUUAGUUUGUUGGUGGGGUAACGGCCUACCAAGGCGACGAUGCGUAGCCGACCUGAGAGGGUGACCGGCCACACUGGGACUGAGACACGGCCCAGACUCCUACGGGAGGCAGCAGUAGGGAAUUUUCCGCAAUGGACGAAAGUCUGACGGAGCAACGCCG